This 253-nucleotide ribosomal RNA is filed under the name uncultured bacterium. Its description in RNAcentral is "partial 16S ribosomal RNA". It matches the Rfam family "Bacterial small subunit ribosomal RNA", at positions 524 to 776 of the family's 1533-position model. The record is from RNAcentral.
GACGAACCGUGCGAACGUUGUUCGGAAUCACUGGGCUUAAAGGGCGCGUAGGCGGCCCGCCGCGUCCGGGGUGAAAUCCUCCCGCUCAACGGGAGAACGGCCUCGGAUACGGGCGGGCUGGAGGGGGGUAGGGGCAGGCGGAACUGUGGGUGGAGCGGUGAAAUGCGUUGAGAUCCACAGGAACUCCGGUGGCGAAGGCGGCCUGCUGGACCCCACCUGACGCUGAGGCGCGAAAGCCAGGGGAGCGAACGGG